GCCCCCAUCGUCUAACGGUUAGGACAUCAGAUUCUCAUUCUGGCAAUACGGGUUCGAUUCCCGUUGGGGGUG
RNAcentral lists this transfer RNA (72 nucleotides) under Alphaproteobacteria bacterium. RNAcentral's name for it is "tRNA-Glu". It matches the Rfam family "tRNA". Rfam says of the family: Transfer RNA (tRNA) molecules are approximately 80 nucleotides in length. Their secondary structure includes four short double-helical elements and three loops (D, anti-codon, and T loops). The record is from RNAcentral. Lineage: Bacteria; Pseudomonadati; Pseudomonadota; Alphaproteobacteria.